CCUAACACAUGCAAGUCGAACGGUAACAGGAAACAGCUUGCUGUUUCGCUGACGAGUGGCGGACGGGUGAGUAAUGUCUGGGAAGCUGCCUGAUGGAGGGGGAUAACUACUGGAAACGGUAGCUAAUACCGCAUAAUGUCGCAAGACCAAAGAGGGGGACCUUCGGGCCUCUUGCCAUCGGAUGUGCCCAGAUGGGAUUAGCUUGUUGGUGGGGUGACGGCUCACCAAGGCGACGAUCCCUAGCUGGUCUGAGAGGAUGACCAGCCACACUGGAACUGAGACACGGUCCAGACUCCUACGGGAGGCAGCAGUGGGGAAUAUUGCACAAUGGGCGCAAGCCUGAUGCAGCCAUGCCGCGUGUAUGAAGAAGGCCUUCGGGUUGUAAAGUACUUUCAGCGGGGAGGAAGGGAGUAAAGUUAAUACCUUUGCUCAUUGACGUUACCCGCAGAAGAAGCACCGGCUAACUC
RNAcentral lists this ribosomal RNA (467 nucleotides) under uncultured bacterium. Its description in RNAcentral is "bacterial SSU rRNA". It matches the Rfam family "Bacterial small subunit ribosomal RNA", at positions 47 to 503 of the family's 1533-position model. The record is from RNAcentral.